This 253-nucleotide ribosomal RNA is filed under the name uncultured bacterium. Its description in RNAcentral is "partial 16S ribosomal RNA". It matches the Rfam family "Bacterial small subunit ribosomal RNA", at positions 524 to 776 of the family's 1533-position model. The record is from RNAcentral.
UACGGAGGGUGCAAGCGUUGUUCGGAAUCACUGGGCGUAAAGGGCGUGUAGGCGGCCUGUUAAGUCUGAUGUGAAAUCCCCUCGCUCAACGAGGGAACUGCGUCGGAAACUGGCAGGCUCGAGUACCGGAGAGGAAGGUGGAAUUCCCGGUGUAGCGGUGAAAUGCGUAGAUAUCGGGAGGGACACCGGUGGCGAAGGCGGCCUUCUGGACGGAUACUGACGCUGAUACGCGAAAGCGUGGGGAGCAAACAGG